Long non-coding RNA from Adelges cooleyi (spruce gall adelgid), 1259 nucleotides. RefSeq lists it as uncharacterized. The record is from RefSeq and is a predicted model, not a curated record. The transcript has 6 exons. Lineage: Eukaryota; Metazoa; Arthropoda; Insecta; Hemiptera; Adelgidae.
AAUUAUAAGUAAUAAAAAAAAUAUUAUUUAUUCGAAUAAUUUUGAAUAUAAAUUACUAUUGUGCUAUCAUUCUUACUUUAAUUUUAUUGUAUAAUUUCAAUGUAUUUAACUGUUAAUGAUGGACGUAUCAGCUCGUGUUAUUAUACUAAUACGUCUUUAGCCUUACCAUUUAAGGCUCAUAUUGUAUAGUGCUGGCACUCCAAAUUGUGGUGUUGUAUGUAUGCAGCGCACAAGAAAUUCAAAUAUUGUCAGUUGACCCAUACCCAACUGUCUUUGUGCUCGCAAAAUUUUGUUGUUUUGUUGUUGCCAUAUUACAGGUUGAUCCCUAUGAAUUUCGAUUCCAUCUCUUGCUCGCCUUAUGUCUUUAGUAAUGGCUCCAAUAUAUGUUUAUUACUUUUCUUACCAACAAAAGACCAAGGUGAUGGAUUUGGAUGCGUGAAAUGGCUCAUCAAGUUCCUGUGGCUCGCUUCCAAAAUAUUAUUUGUUCUAUCAGUACGCCCAUGUACUGAGAGAGUAACAGGGCCAAUUUCUGAAAAGAAGAAGUAUCAUGAAUAGUCAGGUUCACCAAUUUCAAUAAAAUCUACCAGUCCAUUAAAAUGAUUGAAAAUGCAGUUAAAUCCAUCAACAAUGUCUUGGGAUGGUAACAAAGGCAAUGCCAUUAACAUGUGGACAAUUUUCCAGAAGAAUGGAUUUGUCUUGGCUAACUCUGUCAGACCUAAGGGUAAUAAAUAUAAUUGAACAACCUUCUUCGCCAUGUCCUCUUACUGUACCAGCAUAAAUAUUUACUCCCAAGAUAGCUGCUCUAUCACGAUAUGGGCCAUCUAGCUGAAGACUAAACUCUUCCAUUGAUUGCGGAUUUUGUGGUUGACCAUCUUUCCGAAAUCUUGCCAUUGUUCUACGAAGGCUUUCAUAGCGGUUCACAUUAACAUCAACAAAUGUUUCAUUUGUGGACAUCUAAUAUUCAAUUAAAUACAUAAAACUAUCACAGCAUCCUUGACAGCAUCUAAAUAACAUAGCUACACAGAAUGCAUUUUAUUCAGUCCAGAGUGGUUUUAGAGCAAAACCACCUAUAAUAAAAUCAAAAGAUAACAACAUUUCAAAAACAAUGUGAUGGACUCACUCAUUCUGACGUUAUGCUUGUAUAUGUGUGUUUAUUUACUAUAUUAAUCGUAUUGUAAUAAUCAAUAUUGUGUUAGUUUAAUUGUUCAAAAUAGUAUUAACAUUAUUAUUAUUAAAAGUGUUGUCUUCCACUCUAAUUU